UUGUUUUCACAUUCUAAACUGUACAAUUGAAGCCACAUUGGCAAAUUUCAAUUUACAUUACACAUUGAUAUAAUUGUCAUUUACAUAUAAAGAACUUAAAUGCAUACAAGCUCAAUUAUAACAGUUUAGUACUUAAAUAACCUUGAUCAAACUAACUCCUAACAGUCAAAAAAUGUACUGCACAAAUUCUUAAAUUAACUAUACAAACAAAUAUAAUCCAAAAAGGAAAUGGAGACUAUAUUUUGUGCUUACAUAAGGUGGGAUUGGCACUUGGAACAUUUAUACCCAGCCAGCGAGCUCGCCCUUCAGAAACUGAAUCCUUAAUGCUCAGAAUUAUACACAUAGCAUGCUUUGCAAAGUAGUUCUUGUCUUGCAACUAGGCUUACCAAUGUGGUUCCUAUUAAAUCAAUAUUUAUUGGAGCCCGAUUAUCACCAUUUUCAUUGGUUGGCUGCAAAGAACAGAAACAAAAAAUUCAAAUCAAAGGUAAAGCUAAACAAAUUAGCUUUUAAAGUAAAGAAAAAAACGCAGAGCCUCAAAAAAUCCAAGUAUCACCAUUUUCACUCAUUAGCUCAAUCUCGAUUUUAUAUUUACGGCACUCUAUUUAAGACAUAAAACCAGAAAACUUCUUCAUUUGUUUGGGGUUUGACCACACUCACAAGGGUAGGGAGAAAAUUGGGUUGCCGUUAAGCUAAAUAAUAAUGACAAUAAAAUAAAUAAAAAAUAAAAAAGAAGUGUAGCACUACAUACUUCUUUCCCGUCAAAAUACAGCCACUGGAAUACAACCCAAUUUAGCAUUUUGAAUAAAACCAUGCAAGUCUUAGGAUCAAUAGCCUGAAGAACAAAACAAUGGAUUAAAUAAAAAAAAUACCAUUAGCGCCAUAAAUUAUAAUCUGCUGCAAGAUUUAAAUUAUAAUCUAUUAAAUUAAAGUAUUAAUUAGAACUCAAACAAAUUUAUUUAAGGAAAAAAAACUAGAGUUGUUCAUACGGCAGCCAGGAAAAUUUAGAGAAUUUAAUUGAAAAAGAUAUUAAUGCUUUAUAAGUAAGAAGAUUUCGAAAUUAAUUAAGCCACGCAUGAACAAAAAUCUAAUCAAAUAGUCAAAGAAGAGAUUAUGUGAUAAUUGGCCAAACCCAUGUAACUUUGAAGUUGAUUAAAUAGUAUAAAAAUUCACCCAAAAUGAAUUUAACACAUACAUGAUAAUUAGGCAAAUAUCUGACACCUGUAAAUUUAUACAUGAAUUUGAAUAGAUUAAACAAAAAUAAGAGAAGAAAUCAGCCAUUACAGUUUAGAAUUUGCUAGGUAGUAUCAACUUUAAUACCCAAAAACAGAUUAUGGAACGAACAUACAAAUUUUUUUUUUCAAAUAAGAAUCGGAACUUGAAACAAGCAUGGCAAAAGAGACUAAUUUCAAUGACAUAAUACCUAAAUAAACAGAAUUUUAAUCAUGCGUGCAAGUUAAUUUAGAAAUGACUUAACAACAUCAACAUGCAUGCCAAUUUAAACAAGAAUUUUGAAGAAAAAUAAAGAAUAAAAUGAACUGAGAAAGAAGGCUUACAAAUUCAAAAAGCCAGAUAUUUAAUAUUUUGCUCUGAAAUUGAAUUCUCUCUCUUUAAAUCCAAAUCCUUCACCUAGCCUCUCUUGUCUUUCUCUUCUUUCUCCCUCUUCUCCUCUCUCACGUCCUGUUAUCCUCUUGUUUCCUUUCUUCCUUUUUCUGUUUUGUUCCUUUUGAAUCCGAACACUGGUUUUUGUUUCGUAAAUAAAUAAAGAAAUGCUAAAAUAUAAAGAGGUUCAUGGGCUGGACUUGUAACAAAAAUUUUACUAACAAUAUAAUAAGCAUAAGACAAUUAAAUCAUUAAUAAUUUAAAUUUUAUUUUUUUAACAAAUAAGUAAACUCCACUUAGUAAAAAUCAGGGCGUUUCAGUCCUCUUUUCUGUCAAUGUGAUUUUCUAUCCCCUUACCCAUAAUUCACUCUUUUUCCAAAUUCAUUAACCAAGAAAAUCAAGAAACAAAAGGCCAAAGUGCACGACAUAUUUUAUAAUAUUAUGAAAGGAAAAGGAGAGACUAAGGUACAAGCUACACAACACAAAAUCACCAAAUCGAUUAUAAAUGAAGAGGAAAUAAAUCCGACGAGCAAAUAUUUCAAAGCAAAUUAAGAGGAAAGAAUUGCAAAAUUGGAGAAAGCAACUCACAGUGGUGAAACAAUAACCCUGAAUUCAAAAUUUUAGAAUAUCAUUGGCAACAAUCUCACCAACAUUUUCAAGAUAGCACCCAGAAAAUUUGAACUGACUUGACAGCGGAGGCAGUGUCACCACAAUAACCCUGCAUCUGACGGUGAACGAACACAGAGGCAAUGUCGGCAGAGAUGACAGCAGCUGUUUUGCGGAAGUGAAUCGGCUCAAGAAUGGCAGAGAUUGACAGCGGCGGCAGAAAAAGGAAGCAAAUCGGCUCAAGGACAGCUAGACUCAGCGCUGGAGCACUUGAAUCGAUUUGACAGCGGCAGCGGCAUUGACGUUUGAUAGCUUAGGUAGGGUUAGGGCUGGUGUGUGUGACUGAGUGAGUCGUUGUGAUUGUAAUUCGUGAAAAUUGAAGAAGAAGAUAAGGAAUGUGAGUGGUUAGGGAUUGCGCGUUACCUUUAUUCCUUUUAUCGGCUUUUUUUUUUAAAUUUUUUAAGGCAAAUAACAUAUAACGACGGUUAUUAUAAAACGGUCAUGAA
This 2711-nucleotide long non-coding RNA is filed under the name Citrus maxima (pomelo). Its description in RNAcentral is "long non-coding RNA (CMAX_LNC001848)". The record is from RNAcentral. Lineage: Eukaryota; Viridiplantae; Streptophyta; Magnoliopsida; Sapindales; Rutaceae.